AAGUCGUAACAAGGUUUCCGUAGGUGAACCUGCGGAAGGAUCAUUAAUGAGUUAGGGUCCCCUAGGCCCGAUCUCCAACCCUUUGUAUAAUUACCAUGUUGCUUUGACGGACCCGUCUUUAACCGGACCGUUGGGGGUCUUUGGACCUCUGGCCAGCGCCCGUCAGUAGCCCACAUCAAAUUCUUUUUAACCAUGUCAAAUCUGAAAAGUAGUUAAAUAAACUAAAACUUUCAACAACGGAUCUCUUGGUUCUG
RNAcentral lists this unclassified non-coding RNA (254 nucleotides) under Cladophialophora sp. RNAcentral's name for it is "partial contains small subunit ribosomal RNA, internal transcribed spacer 1, and 5.8S ribosomal RNA". The stretch from base 1 to 46 matches the Rfam family "Eukaryotic small subunit ribosomal RNA", at positions 1786 to 1831 of the family's 1831-position model. The record is from RNAcentral. Lineage: Eukaryota; Fungi; Ascomycota; Eurotiomycetes; Chaetothyriales; Herpotrichiellaceae.